RNAcentral lists this long non-coding RNA (2518 nucleotides) under Homo sapiens (human). RNAcentral's name for it is "HSALNT0075144". The record is from RNAcentral. Lineage: Eukaryota; Metazoa; Chordata; Mammalia; Primates; Hominidae.
GAGGAAAGGUGCUAGGACACAUGGCUACCUAACAGAAAUCUCAGACUGAUAUGGUUUUGUGUUGUACGUAUGAAUGAGAGGAUUUAACUCAGUUCCGCGGACAAGGCAACAAUUCUCUGGAAUGCAGACAAGAUUGAUGGGUGAGUGCACAGAAAGAGUUGGGUGCCGCUGUGGGCACAGGCCUGGAAUACACAGUACCCAUGUCAUGAAGCAAGGUGAUGUGAAGUUCCUAAGGUGAUGUGAAGGCCCCAGCCCGGGAUGUGAAGUUCCUGAGGGUCUGUGCACUCUGGAAGCACAGCUGGGGCAGAACUCCACCAGUUGUCUCCACACACAUGCGCUCUGAUGGACCACACAGAAAAAAACAAAUGCAACACCUAGAUCCAGGAAGAGAGGCCCCUUCUGGAAUAGUCCUUCUGCUACCUUGGGACAAAGCAUCAUGAUCACUGUAAAGUAGAAAUGAUUAAUAUCACAAAGUUGGUACUGAAGAGUAAAUGGUGCAAUUUGGAUGUGCAAGUCAGUAAAUUGAUAAUUGGCACUCUUGAAUGCAAAAUAGAAACUAGAUUCUCAACUAUACUGAAGCUUCCAUUAUCCAGAAUGUCACUGCAUAUACUUGGUGAAUUAUAAAGUCAAACAAGAAAUUCUUCUAACUUUGUCCUUUCUUGUCAAAAAUCCUCUCAUUAAUAUGCUUUCAAUGUGCAAAGUAAACAACGUUGCAUUGAUUGUGUUUUUCAAGGUCUAAAUAUUCAGUAUAACUAGUCCUGAAUAUUUAAGAGAUUUAGUUGGAUGUAUAUAAGAUAUAACUGAAGGUUCUUUUUUCUUUUUUAGUUCAUUUUGUUUUACUGUAAUGCUUUUCCUACAGUUAAAAUGAGUAAAACAUUCUUAAUUGAAGGCUUAUGUUAGUUAACUGUGAUUUCAGUUUAUAGAAGCUUUUCUAUAUAAACUCCAGUCCUUGUCAUAGAGAAAAAAAAAUGAAUGAUUUUCAUAUUUAGCAAUAGAAAGCAAGGAGAUUAACAAGUUCCCCCUUCACAAUAAACUAAACCAUGAAGGGCUCAAGCCCAGCAGAUCUAUAAUGACAGCUUACAUUUGUUGUAUUGUCUUUGUAAUUUGUGUGCUAUAUUACUUGGUACACUAGUAUACUGUAAAGUUCUAAAUUGGAGAAACUCUGAGAGUCAAGUAUUUUUAAAUCUACAUUUUACAGAUGAGAAAAUGGAAACUCAGCGAAAUGAGUCUCUAAAAACAGUUAUUAAAGCAAAUCUGAGACUUAGACUUUCUAAUAGCCCAGGAAGGAAAUUUAUUACUUUAUCCACAUUCCCUUAAGGUCCUUCUUAUUAAUAAGGGACAAUUCCCAUAUAUUAAGUUGGUAAAGGAUAUUGUUAAAAAGUAUUUAGUUUUGCUACAGUAUGUAAAACUUAAAGACUGUCUCUGUAUGACUUGUGCAGUUGCCUGCUACACAGAUGUCAAUAUCUGUGAGGUUUGCAAUUGGACCAUCUGUUCUUCAAGGGUAUUUGUGAAUUGAUAGUCCUCUCUGCAACGCACCAUUUGCUGUUCUUUGUGUUUUCACUACAUUUCACAGUCUAUACACUGUGGAUAUAAAACAACCACAGAAAUAAGGAGAGAAAGUUGAUUUGAAGUGUGGAUAACGCCAAAUGUGGUAUCAAACAAAUUAGAAGACUGUAGGAAAUCCAAUUAAAAUUACUUUCACACAGCAAGGUCAAUAAUACCUAUUUAUAAGAUGUUGGAAAAACAGGUCAGAAUGGUUGACACCCAGUUAAUUGUUACCUUUCCUGUUUGAUGGAUUUAGUUCCAGACUGUGAGUCUGAAAAAUGAAGGAUGGAAAAGAUGAGACCUCCAUGAGAGGGGAGAGAAACUGCAUGUAUGCCCAAUUAUAUUGACAAGGUUGCAUAAGAUUCUUGGUUUUAUUCAAUUGAAAUAAAAUCUCUCUACUAUUUGGUAAUGACAGGCACCACUGCUAAGUCCACUGAAGCAUAGCUGGAAAAUCCAGCUGCCCUCACAUCUGUUUUGCAUGACCUUUUAAUCAUCAGCAAAUACUUCUGCCACUAGGAAUGGAAGUCUGGGUAGGAUAUGGCUAUGUGACUUUCUAAGCUAUAGCUAUGGAAAACAUUGAAACAAAAUUCACGCAUGCCGUGUACUGUGCCCAGAAAUUGUAGACUUGUCUGGGUGGUGUUAAGGAUUUGACCUAUUGAGAGUACUCACACCUGCUUCUUACAUUCAAGUUGUUAAUCCUUCGUUCAGAAAAGGAGACAUAUUAGGAAAUAUGUGAAUGGACUGCUGUGACUUAAAUCUUAAGUGUUUAGGCUCUUAAACUGGUUCAAACUAAAAUAACAUUGAUGAAAUAGUGUUUUAGACUUCUGUUACAUUUAUUAUAUUUCAGAAACCUGUGUGAGUUGACUUUACUCUCAUUUAAGAUCUAGGACUUUGUUGGAACGCUUGCCUGAGUUCUAAGUUGUAACAAAGGGUCCUGAAAAUAUUUAGUUACCCAAAAUUUUAAAAACAAAAA